RNAcentral lists this ribosomal RNA (477 nucleotides) under uncultured bacterium. RNAcentral describes it as "partial 16S ribosomal RNA". It matches the Rfam family "Bacterial small subunit ribosomal RNA", at positions 28 to 507 of the family's 1533-position model. The record is from RNAcentral.
GAUAAACGCUGGCGGCGUGCAUAACACAUGCAAGUCGAACGAUGAAGAUUAAAAGAUUUCUUCGGAAUGAACUUAAUUGGAUUAGUGGCGGACGGGUGAGUAACGCGUGAGUAACCUGCCUUGUACAAGGGGAUAGCCGUUGGAAACGACGAAUAAUACCCUAUGACAUCAAAUAAUCGCAUGAUAAUUUGAUCAAAGAUUUAUCGGUAUAAGAUGGACUCGCGUCUGAUUAGCUAGUUGGUAGAGUAAAAGCCUACCAAGGCAACGAUCAGUAGCCGGCUGGGGAGGGGGUCCGGCAACAUGGGGAUUGCGCCACGCCCCGGACUCCGCGGGGGGGAAGCGGGGGGGAAUUUGGAACAUGGGGGGAACCCGUGAGCCGGGGCCGCCGGGUGAUUAAGAGGCCCUCGGGGUUGAAAAAUUUUUUUUUAGGGAAAGAAAAGGACCGUCCAAAAAGAAAAAGGACCGGCUAAUUACGUC